UACGAAGGGGGCUAGCGUUGUUCGGAAUCACUGGGCGUAAAGAGUACGUAGGCGGAUUGUUAAGUCAGGGGUGAAAUCCCGAGGCUCAACCUCGGAACUGCCUUUGAUACUGGCAAUCUUGAGUCCGGGAGAGGUGAGUGGAACUCCUAGUGUAGAGGUGAAAUUCGUAGAUAUUAGGAAGAACACCAGUGGCGAAGGCGGCUUUCUGGUCCUUAACUGACGCUGAGGCGCGAAAGCAUGGGGAGCGAACGGG
This 253-nucleotide ribosomal RNA is filed under the name uncultured bacterium. Its description in RNAcentral is "partial 16S ribosomal RNA". It matches the Rfam family "Bacterial small subunit ribosomal RNA", at positions 524 to 776 of the family's 1533-position model. The record is from RNAcentral.